UCCUGGUUAGCUCAGUUGGUAGAGCGCUGCGCUGGGAAUGGAGAGGUUCCUGUUUUGAUAACAGGACCAGAUA
Molecule: transfer RNA, 73 nt
Filed under: Ixodes scapularis (black-legged tick)
Lineage: Eukaryota; Metazoa; Arthropoda; Arachnida; Ixodida; Ixodidae
Rfam family: tRNA
About the family: Transfer RNA (tRNA) molecules are approximately 80 nucleotides in length.
Source: Rfam by way of RNAcentral